This 1447-nucleotide ribosomal RNA is filed under the name uncultured organism. RNAcentral describes it as "16S ribosomal RNA". It matches the Rfam family "Bacterial small subunit ribosomal RNA". The record is from RNAcentral.
GCGGCGUGCUUAACACAUGCAAGUCGAACGGAAAGGCCCUGCUUUUGUGGGGUGCUCGAGUGGCGAACGGGUGAGUAACACGUGAGUAACCUGCCCUUGACUUUGGGAUAACUUCAGGAAACUGGGGCUAAUACCGGAUAGGAGCUCCUGCUGCAUGGUGGGGGUUGGAAAGUUUCGGCGGUUGGGGAUGGACUCGCGGCUUAUCAGCUUGUUGGUGGGGUAGUGGCUUACCAAGGCUUUGACGGGUAGCCGGCCUGAGAGGGUGACCGGCCACAUUGGGACUGAGAUACGGCCCAGACUCCUACGGGAGGCAGCAGUGGGGAAUAUUGCACAAUGGGCGGAAGCCUGAUGCAGCAACGCCGCGUGCGGGAUGACGGCCUUCGGGUUGUAAACCGCUUUCGCCUGUGACGAAGCGUGAGUGACGGUAAUGGGUAAAGAAGCACCGGCUAACUACGUGCCAGCAGCCGCGGUGAUACGUAGGGUGCGAGCGUUGUCCGGAUUUAUUGGGCGUAAAGGGCUCGUAGGUGGUUGAUCGCGUCGGAAGUGUAAUCUUGGGGCUUAACCCUGAGCGUGCUUUCGAUACGGGUUGACUUGAGGAAGGUAGGGGAGAAUGGAAUUCCUGGUGGAGCGGUGGAAUGCGCAGAUAUCAGGAGGAACACCAGUGGCGAAGGCGGUUCUCUGGGCCUUUCCUGACGCUGAGGAGCGAAAGCGUGGGGAGCGAACAGGCUUAGAUACCCUGGUAGUCCACGCUGUAAACGGUGGGUACUAGGUGUGGGGUCCAUUCCACGGGUUCCGUGCCGUAGCUAACGCUUUAAGUACCCCGCCUGGGGAGUACGGCCGCAAGGCUAAAACUCAAAGGAAUUGACGGGGCCCCGCACAAGCGGCGGAGCAUGCGGAUUAAUUCGAUGCAACGCGUAGAACCUUACCUGGGUUUGACAUGGAUCGGGAGUGCUCAGAGAUGGGUGUGCCUCUUUUGGGGUCGGUUCACAGGUGGUGCAUGCCUGUCGUCAGCUCGUGUCGUGAGAUGUUGGGUUAAGUCCCGCAACGAGCGCAACCCUUGUUCACUGUUGCCAGCACGUUAUGGUGGGGACUCAGUGGAGACCGCCGGGGUCAACUCGGAGGAAGGUGGGGAUGACGUCAAGUCCUCAUGCCCCUUAUGUCCAGGGCUUCACGCAUGCUACAAUGGCUGGUACAGAGAGUGGCGAGCCUGUGAGGGUGAGCGAAUCUCGGAAAGCCGGUCUCAGUUCGGAUUGGGGUCUGCAACUCGACCUCAUGAAGUCGGAGUCGCUAGUAAUCGCAGAUCAGCAACGCUGCGGUGAAUACGUUCCCGGGGCUUGUACACACCGCCCGUCAAGUCAUGAAAGUUGGUAACACCCGAAGCCGGUGGCCUAACCGUUGUGGGGGAGCCGUCGAAGGUGGGACUGGUGAUUAGGACUAAGUCAUAACA